CAAGUCGAACGCGAAAGCGGGGCAACCCGCAAGUAGAGUGGCGAACGGGUGAGUAAUACAUCGGAACGUGUCCAGUAGCGGGGGAUAACCUCUCGAAAGAGAGGCUAAUACCGCAUACGACCUACGGGUGAAAGAGGGGGAUCGCAAGACCUCUCACUAUUGGAGCGGCCGAUGUCGGAUUAGCUAGUUGGCGGGGUAAAAGCCCACCAAGGCGACGAUCCGUAGCUGGUCUGAGAGGACGACCAGCCACACUGGAACUGAGACACGGUCCAGACUCCUACGGGAGGCAGCAGUGGGGAAUUUUGGACAAUGGGCGCAAGCCUGAUCCAGCCAUGCCGCGUGAGUGAAGAAGGCCUUCGGGUUGUAAAGCUCUUUCGGCUGGGACGAAAAGGUCCGUGUCAACACCACGGAUCCAUGACGGUACCAGCAGAAGAAGCACCGGCUAACUACGUGCCAGCAGCCGCGGUAAUACGUAGGGUGCAGGCGUUAAUCGGAAUUACUGGGCGUAAAGCGUGCGCAGGCGGUUUGCUAAGACAGGUGUGAAAUCCCCGGGCUUAACCUGGGAACUGCGCUUGUAACUGGCAAGCUGGAGUGUGGCAGAGGGGGGUGGAAUUCCACGUGUAGCAGUGAAAUGCGUAGAGAUGUGGAGGAACACCGAUGGCGAAGGCAGCCCCCUGGGCUAACACUGACGCUCAUGCACGAAAGCGUGGGGAGCAAACAGGAUUAGAUACCCUGGUAGUCCACGCCCUAAACUAUGUCAACUGGUUGUCGGGGAAGCAAUUCCUUGGUAACGAAGCUAACGCGUGAAGUUGACC
This 815-nucleotide ribosomal RNA is filed under the name uncultured beta proteobacterium. RNAcentral describes it as "bacterial SSU rRNA". It matches the Rfam family "Bacterial small subunit ribosomal RNA", at positions 58 to 870 of the family's 1533-position model. Lineage: Bacteria; Pseudomonadati; Pseudomonadota; Betaproteobacteria. The record is from RNAcentral.